UUAAGUUAUUAAGGGCGCACGGUGGAUGCCUUGGCACUAGAAGCCGAUGAAGGACGUUACUAACGACGAUAUGCUUUGGGGAGCUGUAAGUAAGCUUUGAUCCAGAGAUUUCCGAAUGGGGAAACCCAGCAUGAGUUAUGUCAUGUUAUCGAUAUGUGAAUACAUAGCAUAUCAGAAGGCACACCCGGAGAACUGAAACAUCUUAGUACCCGGAGGAAGAGAAAGAAAAUUCGAUUCCCUUAGUAGCGGCGAGCGAAACGGGAAGAGCCCAAACCAACAAGCUUGCUUGUUGGGGUUGUAGGACACUCUAUACGGAGUUACAAAGGACGACAUUAGACGAAUCAUCUGGAAAGAUGAAUCAAAGAAGGUAAUAAUCCUGUAGUCGAAAAUGUUGUCUCUCUUGAGUGGAUCCUGAGUACGACGGAGCACGUGAAAUUCCGUUGGAAUCUGGGAGGACCAUCUCCUAAGGCUAAAUACUCUCUAGUGACCGAUAGUGAACCAGUACCGUGAGGGAAAGGUGAAAAGCACCCCGGAAGGGGAGUGAAAUAGAACCUGAAACCGUGUGCUUACAAGUAGUCAGAGCCCGUUAAUGGGUGAUGGCGUGCCUUUUGUAGAAUGAACCGGCGAGUUACGAUUUGAUGCAAGGUUAAGCAGUAAAUGUGGAGCCGUAGCGAAAGCGAGUCUGAAUAGGGCGUUUAGUAUUUGGUCGUAGACCCGAAACCAGGUGAUCUACCCUUGGUCAGGUUGAAGUUCAGGUAACACUGAAUGGAGGACCGAACCGACUUACGUUGAAAAGUGAGCGGAUGAACUGAGGGUAGCGGAGAAAUUCCAAUCGAACCUGGAGAUAGCUGGUUCUCUCCGAAAUAGCUUUAGGGCUAGCCUCAAGUGAUGAUUAUUGGAGGUAGAGCACUGUUUGGACGAGGGGCCCCUCUCGGGUUACCGAAUUCAGACAAACUCCGAAUGCCAAUUAAUUUAACUUGGGAGUCAGAACAUGGGUGAUAAGGUCCGUGUUCGAAAGGGAAACAGCCCAGACCACCAGCUAAGGUCCCAAAAUAUAUGUUAAGUGGAAAAGGAUGUGGCGUUGCCCAGACAACUAGGAUGUUGGCUUAGAAGCAGCCAUCAUUUAAAGAGUGCGUAAUAGCUCACUAGUCGAGUGACACUGCGCCGAAAAUGUACCGGGGCUAAACAUAUUACCGAAGCUGUGGAUUGUCCUUUGGACAAUGGUAGGAGAGCGUUCUAAGGGCGUUGAAGCAUGAUCGUAAGGACAUGUGGAGCGCUUAGAAGUGAGAAUGCCGGUGUGAGUAGCGAAAGACGGGUGAGAAUCCCGUCCACCGAUUGACUAAGGUUUCCAGAGGAAGGCUCGUCCGCUCUGGGUUAGUCGGGUCCUAAGCUGAGGCCGACAGGCGUAGGCGAUGGAUAACAGGUUGAUAUUCCUGUACCACCUAUAAUCGUUUUAAUCGAUGGGGGGGACGCAGUAGGAUAGGCGAAGCGUGCGAUUGGAUUGCACGUCUAAGCAGUAAGGCUGAGUAUUAGGCAAAUCCGGUACUCAUUAAGGCUGAGCUGUGAUGGGGAGAAGACAUUGUGUCUUCGAGUCGUUGAUUUCACACUGCCGAGAAAAGCCUCUAGAUAGAAAAUAGGUGCCCGUACCGCAAACCGACACAGGUAGUCAAGAUGAGAAUUCUAAGGUGAGCGAGCGAACUCUCGUUAAGGAACUCGGCAAAAUGACCCCGUAACUUCGGGAGAAGGGGUGCUCUUUAGGGUUAACGCCCAGAAGAGCCGCAGUGAAUAGGCCCAAGCGACUGUUUAUCAAAAACACAGGUCUCUGCUAAACCGUAAGGUGAUGUAUAGGGGCUGACGCCUGCCCGGUGCUGGAAGGUUAAGAGGAGUGGUUAGCUUCUGCGAAGCUACGAAUCGAAGCCCCAGUAAACGGCGGCCGUAACUAUAACGGUCCUAAGGUAGCGAAAUUCCUUGUCGGGUAAGUUCCGACCCGCACGAAAGGCGUAACGAUUUGGGCACUGUCUCAACGAGAGACUCGGUGAAAUCAUAGUACCUGUGAAGAUGCAGGUUACCCGCGACAGGACGGAAAGACCCCGUGGAGCUUUACUGUAGCCUGAUAUUGAAAUUCGGCACAGCUUGUACAGGAUAGGUAGGAGCCUUUGAAACGUGAGCGCUAGCUUACGUGGAGGCGCUGGUGGGAUACUACCCUAGCUGUGUUGGCUUUCUAACCCGCACCACUUAUCGUGGUGGGAGACAGUGUCAGGCGGGCAGUUUGACUGGGGCGGUCGCCUCCUAAAAGGUAACGGAGGCGCUCAAAGGUUCCCUCAGAAUGGUUGGAAAUCAUUCAUAGAGUGUAAAGGCAUAAGGGAGCUUGACUGCGAGACCUACAAGUCGAG
This 2393-nucleotide ribosomal RNA is filed under the name Staphylococcus aureus VET0395R. Its description in RNAcentral is "bacterial LSU rRNA". It matches the Rfam family "Bacterial large subunit ribosomal RNA", at positions 3 to 2393 of the family's 2925-position model. Lineage: Bacteria; Bacillati; Bacillota; Bacilli; Caryophanales; Staphylococcaceae. The record is from RNAcentral.